UUGUCCGAGCUGGUUAGGAGGUAGAAUGCAAGCGAUUUUAAGCAGAGUCCAGGGUUUUUGAAAUCAGAGAAGCCUUCAUCAACAGAGCGCCGCCUUCUAGUAGAAGCUAUAUUUUCAGAGAAAAUGAAGACUGAAGGAAACAAUCUAUUAUUUCCACCAACCAAAAGAACAAUUUUUCUCUCACAGUAGAAAAUUAUACAGACAUGACAUGGCCUGUAAAAUCUUCUUGGAUAUGCAAUACUCAGUAAUGAUACCAUUGAUUUCAAGGAAAAAGCAAGCUGUGCAAACAUCAUAAGAGAUAUUCACGUAAGUGGAGACUGGAAGCUGUUGAAUCUACAGUAGAAAAGACAAGGAAAGUACAAAAAAUGGUGAAUGAGCUGUUUUCUGUGAGAAGAACAAAUACAUCAUAGAAAAGAAGUUUAUUGACUUAACAGAGGCUUUUUGCACUGCUAAUAUUUCAUUUCAUUUCAUGUCCUGCACAGCCCUGCUAUGAAAAGCUACUUGAAAGCUUCUCGGGAAAAACAUACCUUAUGCUGGUGCCAUACCUUGUUUAGAUCAACCGGGAAAAAAAUACUUACCAAAGCCUCUUGAAAGUCACGUGAAACUGUUUCUGCACUGCUUGUGUUCAAAGACCGCUUGACCUUUUUGAAAAAAAACCACACAGAUGGACAAUCUGUUUCUCCCAGGAUGUUUCUCAUGUAUAAUCAAAUAAAAAAAAUCAGUUAAACUUAGAAUGCUACUUCUUAUUUUACAUACUUUGUUUUCACAUGGUUAUGUGUACAGAAAAUAUGUAAGUGCCUUUUCUAGGUGUUUUUUUCCCCCACUCGUUUUGGGGAGCAUCUGCUGAUAUUUGUGACAUAAAUUUCUUGAAAGAAUUAUUGAGGGACUGUCAUGGGUUUUGUGUAUUGUAGACUGAUGCUCAAGUGCUGAAACCUCUGUGUUCAUCAACACCUUCAUAGCAGCACCAUUUUAGUCCUGUGGGAAAAAAGAAUUAUAGCUUUGGCAAAGAACUCUGACUCUUAAAUGUCUUCUGGUAGGUUUUGCUUUUCCAGAAAAUAUCAAAAGGGGGGACAUUGGGGGUGAUACGUAGCUGUGAGAAACCCCUCCUGAAAUUUGAGACCUUUGUGCAUGGCCUGCAUGUUUUGUUGUUCCAGUGUUAACUUACUCAAGUUGAGUACUUUGAACACAGUCAAGACACAUAUGCUUUCUAUCAAUUACUUUUUUGAAUAUGAUUCCCAUUUUAAAGACAAUUUAUUCAUGAGGAUGAAGUCUGGUGUGAUUUCUGGUGAGACACUUCAACACUGAGAUUGCUUUCCAGUGCUGACUAUUGCUUUGAGAACUCUACCGGUGCCUAAUAGCACUGUAUUUUUUUUUUCUUGCAAGGAUGUCUUUCAGAACAACAUGCCAAAGAACCAGGAAAGAUAACCUCAGUAGAGUUUCAUUUCAGGCCAAAGUGCAUGUGCAAACUAUUUUUUUCCCUGCUAAAUAAAUUUAGAGCUAUAGUUUUCUAUAGCUAUUUUAAUUGUACCUGUUAGUACUGAUGUCAUUCCUAAUGUAUGCUUUGCUACUAGG
Chroicocephalus ridibundus (black-headed gull) is the source of this 1572-nucleotide long non-coding RNA. RefSeq lists it as uncharacterized. The record is from RefSeq and is a predicted model, not a curated record. Lineage: Eukaryota; Metazoa; Chordata; Aves; Charadriiformes; Laridae. The transcript has 4 exons.